RNAcentral lists this unclassified non-coding RNA (376 nucleotides) under uncultured Actinomycetes bacterium. RNAcentral's name for it is "uncultured actinobacterium contains 16S-23S intergenic spacer region". Lineage: Bacteria; Bacillati; Actinomycetota; Actinomycetes. The record is from RNAcentral.
UCCGAGUUGACCCCGGCAGUCUCCCACGAGUCCCCACCAUUACGUGCUGGCAACAUAGGAUAAGGGUUGCGCUCGUUGCGGGACUUAACCCAACAUCUCACGACACGAGCUGACGACAGCCAUGCACCACCUGCACACAGGCCACAAGGGAACCGACAUCUCUGCCGGAAUCCUGUGCAUGUCAAACCCAGGUAAGGUUCUUCGCGUUGCAUCGAAUUAAUCCACAUGCUCCACCGCUUGUGCGGGUCCCCGUCAAUUCCUUUGAGUUUCGGCCUUGCGGCCGUACUCCCCAGGCGGCGGACUUAAUGCGUUAGCUGCGGCACAGAGGGCAUGACGCCCCCCACACCUAGUCCGCACCGUUUACAGCGUGGACUAC